This 367-nucleotide ribosomal RNA is filed under the name uncultured Pelotomaculum sp. RNAcentral describes it as "bacterial SSU rRNA". It matches the Rfam family "Bacterial small subunit ribosomal RNA", at positions 1016 to 1382 of the family's 1533-position model. The record is from RNAcentral. Lineage: Bacteria; Bacillati; Bacillota; Clostridia; Eubacteriales; Desulfotomaculaceae.
ACCCUCGGGUGGACAGGGAGACAGGUGGUGCAUGGUUGUCGUCAGCUCGUGUCGUGAGAUGUUGGGUUAAGUCCCGCAACGAGCGCAACCCCUACGUUUAGUUGCUAACAGGUGAAGCUGAGCACUCUAGACGAACUGCCGUUGACAAACGGAGGAAGGUGGGAUGACGUCAAAUCAUCAUGCCCCUUAUGUUCUGGGCUACACACGUGCUACAAUGGCCGGUACAGACGGAGGCGAAGCCGCGAGGCGGAGCAAAUCCGAAAAAGCCGGUCUCAGUUCGGAUUGCAGGCUGCAAUUCGCCUGCAUGAAGUCGGAAUCGCUAGUAAUCGCAGGUCAGCAUACUGCGGUGAAUACGUUCCCGGGCCUU